This 449-nucleotide ribosomal RNA is filed under the name uncultured bacterium. RNAcentral describes it as "partial 16S ribosomal RNA". It matches the Rfam family "Bacterial small subunit ribosomal RNA", at positions 29 to 523 of the family's 1533-position model. The record is from RNAcentral.
AACGAACGCUGGCGGCAUGCCUAACACAUGCAAGUCGAACGAGACCUUCGGGUCUAGUGGCGCACGGGUGCGUAACGCGUGGGAAUCUGCCCUUCGGUUGGGAAUAACUGAGAGAAAUUUCAGCUAAUACCUUAUAAUGUCUUCGGACCAAAGAUUUAUCGCCGAGGGAUGAGCCCGCGUAGGAUUAGGUAGUUGGUGGGGUAAUGGCCUACCAAGCCGACGAUCCUUAGCUGGUCUGAGAGGAUGAUCAGCCACACUGGGACUGAGACACGGCCCAGACUCCUACGGGAGGCAGCAGUGGGGAAUAUUGGACAAUGGGCGAAAGCCUGAUCCAGCAAUGCCGCGUGAGUGAUGAAGGCCUUAGGGUUGUAAAGCUCUUUUACCCGGGAUGAUAAUGACAGUACCGGGAGAAUAAGCACCGGCUAACUCUGUGCCAGCAGCCGCAGUAA